UCCUGGCUUAGGAUGAACGCUGGCGGCGUGCUUAACACAUGCAAGUCGAACGGAGCCUAGCGAGUGCUUGCACUUGCGAAAGCUUAGUGGCGGACGGGUGAGUAACGCGUGGGUAACCUGCCCUGUACUGGGGGAUAACAGUCGGAAACGACUGCUAAUACCGCAUAAGCCCACAUGGCCGCAUGGCCAAGGGGGAAAAAACUCCGGUGGUACAGGAUGGACCCGCGUCUGAUUAGCUAGUUGGUGAGGUAACGGCCCACCAAGGCGACGAUCAGUAGCCGGCCUGAGAGGGUGAACGGCCACAUUGGGACUGAGACACGGCCCAAACUCCUACGGGAGGCAGCAGUGGGGAACAUUGCACAAUGGGGGAAACCCUGAUGCAGCCGACGCCGCGUGAGCGAUGAAGUAUUUCGGUAUGUAAAGCUCUAUCAGCAGGGAAGAAAAUGACGGUACCUGACUAAGAAGCACCGGCUAAAUACGUGCCAGCAGCCGC
This 493-nucleotide ribosomal RNA is filed under the name uncultured bacterium. RNAcentral's name for it is "bacterial SSU rRNA". It matches the Rfam family "Bacterial small subunit ribosomal RNA", at positions 17 to 518 of the family's 1533-position model. The record is from RNAcentral.